RNAcentral lists this ribosomal RNA (567 nucleotides) under Salmonella enterica. RNAcentral's name for it is "partial 23S ribosomal RNA". It matches the Rfam family "Bacterial large subunit ribosomal RNA", at positions 2164 to 2730 of the family's 2925-position model. The record is from RNAcentral. Lineage: Bacteria; Pseudomonadati; Pseudomonadota; Gammaproteobacteria; Enterobacterales; Enterobacteriaceae. RNAcentral also lists the same sequence under 3 other names.
GUGGACGCCAGUCUGCGUGGAGCCGACCUUGAAAUACCACCCUUUAAUGUUUGAUGUUCUAACGUGGACCCGUGAUCCGGGUUGCGGACAGUGUCUGGUGGGUAGUUUGACUGGGGCGGUCUCCUCCUAAAGAGUAACGGAGGAGCACGAAGGUUGGCUAAUCCUGGUCGGACAUCAGGAGGUUAGUGCAAUGGCAUAAGCCAGCUUGACUGCGAGCGUGACGGCGCGAGCAGGUGCGAAAGCAGGUCAUAGUGAUCCGGUGGUUCUGAAUGGAAGGGCCAUCGCUCAACGGAUAAAAGGUACUCCGGGGAUAACAGGCUGAUACCGCCCAAGAGUUCAUAUCGACGGCGGUGUUUGGCACCUCGAUGUCGGCUCAUCACAUCCUGGGGCUGAAGUAGGUCCCAAGGGUAUGGCUGUUCGCCAUUUAAAGUGGUACGCGAGCUGGGUUUAGAACGUCGUGAGACAGUUCGGUCCCUAUCUGCCGUGGGCGCUGGAGAACUGAGGGGGGCUGCUCCUAGUACGAGAGGACCGGAGUGGACGCAUCACUGGUGUUCGGGUUGUCAUGCC